Molecule: ribosomal RNA, 253 nt
Filed under: uncultured bacterium
Lineage: Bacteria
Description: partial 16S ribosomal RNA
Rfam family: Bacterial small subunit ribosomal RNA
Source: RNAcentral
UACGUAGGGUGCGAGCGUUAAUCGGAAUUACUGGGCGUAAAGCGUGCGCAGGCGGUGCUGUAAGACCGAUGUGAAAUCCCCGGGCUUAACCUGGGAACUGCAUUGGUGACUGCAGCGCUGGAGUAUGGCAGAGGGGGGUGGAAUUCCACGUGUAGCAGUGAAAUGCGUAGAGAUGUGUAGGAACACCGAUGGCGAAGGCAGCCCCCUGGGCCAAUACUGACGCUCAUGCACGAAAGCGUGGGGAGCAAACAGG